UACGGAGGGGGCUAGCGUUGUUCGGAAUUACUGGGCGUAAAGCGCGCGUAGGCGGACCUGCAAGUCGGGGGUGAAAGCCCGAGGCUCAACCUCGGAACUGCCUUCGAUACUGCGGGUCUCGAGUCCGGGAGAGGUGAGUGGAAUUCCUAGUGUAGAGGUGAAAUUCGUAGAUAUUAGGAAGAACACCAGUGGCGAAGGCGGCUCACUGGCCGAUUUCUGACGCUGAGGCGCGAAAGCGUGGGGAGCAAACAGG
Molecule: ribosomal RNA, 253 nt
Filed under: uncultured bacterium
Lineage: Bacteria
Description: partial 16S ribosomal RNA
Rfam family: Bacterial small subunit ribosomal RNA
Source: RNAcentral